Drosophila melanogaster (fruit fly) is the source of this 680-nucleotide non-coding RNA. Lineage: Eukaryota; Metazoa; Arthropoda; Insecta; Diptera; Drosophilidae. The record is from Ensembl.
ACAUACAUUUUUUACGAGUUCGUGGUAUAUUCCACGAAUUCCCUCCGCCGCACAUGAUGAUUGAUCGGAUCUCAACACGACUUUCACCUUAUCAUCCAAUUGCAGAGCAUCGAAGUUCGUUGGCCUGUGAUGGCUGUCAUCUCCUAGCUGCUACGGCUUAAUUCCCUUAAAGAAACCUGGCCGCAUGCCCUCAGCUUGUGGCCUUCCAUUUAGUUACUGGCCUGGUUCUGCAAUAUUCAUGCAGCUCUCGAGUUCCCGGUAAAGUCAAAUCGAGCCUUGGGCCGUUCGCUCGUUUACAGCUCUUCUCAUCGUAAGCCCCUCACCCUUCUUUAUGUUUCCAUGGACCUGUGCAACGGUACAAAGUUUACGAAACGUUGGAAAAUUGUUUGCGGCCAUAAAAUUGUGUGCAACCGAAGGUCCGAAAAAGACCCCCGGGCUGAAGUUGUAAUUGGGAAUGAGCUCGAACAGACAUCGCCCUCAGCCGCUCGGCAUUUUGUUGGCUCCUUUCGGAUUGGCUCUGCUCUCCAAGAUACACGUUAAAAUCUUUUAGCUGUUUUAAAUCUUUCGGACUUCAAUUUGCUUGGCAAUCCUCUUAAAACAUUAUUGUAUACUUUUAAAAUUCGUUUAAUUUGCAUUUUUUAUAUACACUUACAGAAAUUUUCAUUUCACUUUUUCAUGCA